CAGUAGCCACGGUAAUACGGAGGGGGCUAGCGUUGUUCGGAAUUACUGGGCGUAAAGCGCACGUAGGCGGCUUUGUAAGUCAGAGGUGAAAGCCUGGAGCUCAACUCCAGAAUUGCCUUUGAGACUGCAUCGCUUGAAUCCGGGAGAGGUGAGUGGAAUUCCGAGUGUAGAGGUGAAAUUCGUAGAUAUUCGGAAGAACACCAGUGGCGAAGGCGGCUCACUGGUCCAUUACUGACGCUGAGGUGCGAAAGCGUAGGGAGCAAACAGGAUUAGAUACCCCGGUAGUCCCUGUCUCUUAUAA
Molecule: ribosomal RNA, 301 nt
Filed under: uncultured bacterium
Lineage: Bacteria
Description: partial 16S ribosomal RNA
Rfam family: Bacterial small subunit ribosomal RNA
Source: RNAcentral